GAUCCGCCUUUCGAAUUGUCACCGUAUGGUGGCGUGGCUGGGACAACCAGUCUAGAAGGCGGAUCGCUC
Non-coding RNA from Candidatus Gottesmanbacteria bacterium, 69 nucleotides. NCBI's taxonomy places the organism in Bacteria, Candidatus Gottesmaniibacteriota. The record is from Rfam.